Molecule: ribosomal RNA, 253 nt
Filed under: uncultured bacterium
Lineage: Bacteria
Description: partial 16S ribosomal RNA
Rfam family: Bacterial small subunit ribosomal RNA
Source: RNAcentral
GACGAACCGUGCGAACGUUGUUCGGGAACACUGGGCUUAAAGGGUGCGUCGGCGGGUUGUCCAGUCUGGGGUGAAAUCCCACGGCUCAACCGUGGAAUUGCCUCAGAUACUGACGACCUCGAGGGAGGUAGGGGCGAGCGGAACUGUGGGUGGAGCGGUGAAAUGCGUUGAUAUCCACAGGAACUCCGGUGGCGAAGGCGGCUCGCUGGACCUCUUCUGACGCUGAGGCACGAAAGCUAGGGGAGCAAACGGG